This 73-nucleotide transfer RNA is filed under the name Stegodyphus mimosarum. It matches the Rfam family "tRNA". Rfam says of the family: Transfer RNA (tRNA) molecules are approximately 80 nucleotides in length. Their secondary structure includes four short double-helical elements and three loops (D, anti-codon, and T loops). Lineage: Eukaryota; Metazoa; Arthropoda; Arachnida; Araneae; Eresidae. The record is from Rfam by way of RNAcentral.
GCCUUCGUGGUGUAGUGGUCAGCACGCUGGACGCGUAUUUCACAUGUCCAUGGUUCGAGUCCCGACGAAGGCA